Molecule: ribosomal RNA, 442 nt
Filed under: uncultured bacterium
Lineage: Bacteria
Description: bacterial SSU rRNA
Rfam family: Bacterial small subunit ribosomal RNA
Source: RNAcentral
AACGCGAAGAACCUUACCUACUCUUGACAUGGUGCGAAGGUUGGAGAGAUCUGACUGUGCCGAAAGGAACGCACACACAGGUGCUGCAUGGCUGUCGUCAGCUCGUGUCGUGAGAUGUUGGGUUAAGUCCCGCAACGAGCGCAACCCUUAUCUCCAGUUACCAGCACGUUAUGGUGGGGACUCUGGAGAGACUGCUGAUCUAUGAUCGGAGGAAGGGGGGAUGACGUCAAGUCAUCAUGGCCCUUACGAGUAGGGCUACACACGUACUACAAUGGUCGGUACAGAGGGAAGCAAGAUCGCGAGAUGGAGCCAAUCCCAGAAAGCUGAUCGUAGUCCGGAUUGGAGUCUGCAACUCGACUCCAUGAAGCCGGAAUCGCUAGUAAUCGCAGAUCAGAAUGCUGCGGUGAAUACGUUCCCGGGCCUUGUACACACCGCACUACUA